RNAcentral lists this ribosomal RNA (240 nucleotides) under uncultured bacterium. Its description in RNAcentral is "partial 16S ribosomal RNA". It matches the Rfam family "Bacterial small subunit ribosomal RNA", at positions 118 to 353 of the family's 1533-position model. The record is from RNAcentral.
UGAGGAACAUGACUUUCGGCGGGGGAUAGCCGGCCCAACGGCCGGGUAAUACCGCGUACGACCUUUUGGGGACAUCCCUGAUUGGUGAAAGCAGCAAUGCGCCGAAAGNGUGUCUCGCGGCCUAUCAGCUAGUUGGUGGGGUAAUGGCUCACCAAGGCAACGGACGGGUAGCUGGUCUGAGAGGAUGGCCAGCCACGAUUGGGACUGAGACACCGGCCCAGACCUCCGUAGGGAGNAGCG